This 609-nucleotide long non-coding RNA is filed under the name Homo sapiens (human). RNAcentral's name for it is "growth arrest specific 5, transcript variant 42 (GAS5)". The record is from RNAcentral. Lineage: Eukaryota; Metazoa; Chordata; Mammalia; Primates; Hominidae.
CUUUUCGAGGUAGGAGUCGACUCCUGUGAGGUAUGGUGCUGGGUGCAGAUGCAGUGUGGCUCUGGAUAGCACCUUAUGGACAGUUGUGUCCCCAAGGAAGGAUGAGAAUAGCUACUGAAUUGUUUCUUCCCAGGUCCUAAAGAGCAAGCCUAACUCAAGCCAUUGGCACACAGGCAUUAGACAGAAAGCUGGAAGUUGAAAUGGUGGAGUCCAACUUGCCUGGACCAGCUUAAUGGUUCUGCUCCUGGUAACGUUUUUAUCCAUGGAUGACUUGCUUGGGUAUGGAGAGUCGGCUUGACUACACUGUGUGGAGCAAGUUUUAAAGAAGCAAAGGACUCAGAAUUCAUGAUUGAAGAAAUGCAGGCAGACCUGUUAUCCUAAACUAGGGUUUUUAAUGACCACAACAAGCAAGCAUGCAGCUUACUGCUUGAAAGGGUCUUGCCUCACCCAAGCUAGAGUGCAGUGGCCUUUGAAGCUUACUACAGCCUCAAACUUCUGGGCUCAAGUGAUCCUCAGCCUCCCAGUGGUCUUUGUAGACUGCCUGAUGGAGUCUCAUGGCACAAGAAGAUUAAAACAGUGUCUCCAAUUUUAAUAAAUUUUUGCAAUCCA